Molecule: long non-coding RNA, 1247 nt
Organism: Mirounga angustirostris (Northern elephant seal)
Lineage: Eukaryota; Metazoa; Chordata; Mammalia; Carnivora; Phocidae
Exons: 3
Source: RefSeq, a predicted model, not a curated record
CUUAAAAUAUUUACUCUUGACCUUUUACAGUGAGAGUUUGCUGAUCUCUCAGGCUAUCUCUGCCAUUAGUUCAUCCAAAUGAGCAUCAGGAUAUUAAAAUAUUUAAAAACAAACACUAGUUUAUUUCAUCCAUUCUAACCCACUGCUGGCUCUCUAAAGCUGUUAAAACCCCUUUUGUGGCAGCAGCAGUUUUUUUUAAUUUACCAUUUCUGCGAAGGAAAGAACUAAGGAAAUCAUUGUUAUUUAAUUUUGCUAUUUAUAGAGUUGAUUUUCAAGAAGCCUCUUUCAAAUGAUCAAAUUUCAAAAGUUGGAAACAUGUUUCUGCAAGAAAAUGUUUUUCAGCCUCUUUUUUCUUAUUGAUUCUUCUGAGUCAAUAAAAACUUCCAAGAGUAAUGGUAGAGCUUUUUUUCUUAGUGUUAAAUAUUGCUUCUUUUGCAACUAAUGCAUUGCAUGUGGUGGUUUGCAGUGGUAUCAUUGGUCGUAGCAGGAAAGAUUUCAGGAGAUACUUAUUCAACUUCAUCGCUGCCAUGCCUCUCAUCUCUGUAAUUAAUAACUUCUUGAAGUUUGGGUUAAAUGAGCUCAAACUGUGCUUCUGAGUAAGACUAACUAAAUACCUCAAUGAGGAGUAUCUCCAGUCAAGGGCCAGGAGAAGUAACGAAGUAUAAUUUGGCCCGCUGGAGGGCAGCAGCUUCCGGAUACCAGCCAACAAUUAGUAGGAGGCUUUCUGCUCCCAGUGCUACGGCCAGUGUUGAUUCUAGCAGCAGCUGGUCGGUCUCAGCGAUAAGGACAGGAGGAGAAACCCGAGGGCUGGUUAAAGUGCAGUCGUGAAGUCUCCCGAUCGUGGCAGUGUGGCCUCCUUCGGAGCUGGAAUGAAUUCCUUCCCCGUGAACAGCCAGACGCCUCGUGACUACCCAGACCGGCUGUCGCUCGGCCAGCGCUUUCUUCGGUGCGUGCAUUCAAAUUCCUUUAGAUAUGAGGCCCCGGAAUCACAUAAUGCCGUAAUUAGGGCUGGCAGGGAACGAACAGCCUGGUAGAAACACGCACUCAGAUGCCCUCUCUGGGACUUGUUCUCCACCCCCCGCCCCCCCGCCCCCCCGCCGCCGUUCCCCCACGUCGUGCACCAAGCCCUUUGUCCCGGGAGCCCCGCCGGCGCAGGAAUUCGAGGUAACGGCCGCAGCACACUCAGGGCAGGGCACGCCCCCACGCCACGCGGUCUCGGCGCCCCGGCGCUACAGGCACGCCCCCGU